CCUACGGGAGGCAGCAGUGAGGAAUAUUGGUCAAUGGACGGAAAUCUGAACCAGCCAUGCCGCGUGCAGGAAGACGGCUCUAUGAGGUGUAAACUGCUUUUGUACAAGGGUAAACCUGAAUACGUGUAUUCAGCUGAAAGUACUGUACGAAUAAGGAUCGGCUAACUCCGUGCCAGCAGCCGCGGUAAUACGGAGGAUCCAAGCGGUCUCCGGAUUUCUUGGGUUUAAAGGGUGCGUAGGCGGAUUGAUAAGUUAGAGGUGAAAUGUCCGCGCUUAACUCGGGAACUGCCUCUAAUACUGUUGAUCUAGCGCGUAGAUGCGUUAGGCGGCAUGUCUUGUGUAGCGGUGCAAUGCUU
Molecule: ribosomal RNA, 356 nt
Filed under: uncultured bacterium
Lineage: Bacteria
Description: partial 16S ribosomal RNA
Rfam family: Bacterial small subunit ribosomal RNA
Source: RNAcentral